GGAAGAUCGACUCGUCGUCAGAGGGCGGCGUGCGCACCGCGACUUCCUGCUGAGAACCUCGCCGCCAGGGGUCCGCGCGCAUCCUGUCGCUGUCGCUGUCGCUCGUCGCAUCAUGGACGCGAAGCACAAGCCGCCGACCGACCCUGAGCGGAGCGGUGGCCGGAGGCGGCGUGGAAGCGGGGUGUUCGGGAGGGACGCGGCGCGGCUGGACCGGAGGCUCUCCGCCUCUCAGCCCGACCUGCGCGCCCCUCGGCCGGUGCCCGAGGAGACGCCCGGAGAGGUGGAGGAUGUUGGGGAGUCGCAGGGCAGCCAGGCGUCCGCCGGCUCGGUGUCCCACGAUGCCACCCAGGAUGCAGAGGACAAACGACUGACGGACGGAGACCUGGGCAAGAGGCCUGUCCACUCUCGGAGUCUCACACUGUGGCCGUGGGUGCGGAGCUUUGUGCGGGCCGACUGUUCCAUGGCGAUCUGGACUGCAUAGGGGAGG
Long non-coding RNA from Denticeps clupeoides (denticle herring), 487 nucleotides. NCBI's taxonomy places the organism in Eukaryota, Metazoa, Chordata, Actinopteri, Clupeiformes, Denticipitidae. The record is from Ensembl.